CAGUAAGUCAGCUCAGUUGGUUAGAACAUGGUGCUAAUAACACCAAGUUCACAGGUUCAAUCCCUGCUUACUGC
This 74-nucleotide transfer RNA is filed under the name Pelecanus crispus (Dalmatian pelican). It matches the Rfam family "tRNA". From Rfam's summary of the family: Transfer RNA (tRNA) molecules are approximately 80 nucleotides in length. Their secondary structure includes four short double-helical elements and three loops (D, anti-codon, and T loops). Further hydrogen bonds mediate the characteristic L-shaped molecular structure. tRNAs have two regions of fundamental functional importance: the anti-codon, which is responsible for specific mRNA codon recognition, and the 3' end, to which the tRNAs corresponding amino acid is attached (by aminoacyl-tRNA synthetases). tRNAs cope with the degeneracy of the genetic code in two manners: having more than one tRNA (with a specific anti-codon) for a particular amino acid; and 'wobble' base-pairing, i.e. permitting non-standard base-pairing at the 3rd anti-codon position. Lineage: Eukaryota; Metazoa; Chordata; Aves; Pelecaniformes; Pelecanidae. The record is from Rfam by way of RNAcentral.